ACGGGAGUAGCUCAGUUGGUAGAGUUCUUGCUUUGGGAGCAAGAUGUCGUCGGUUCGAGUCCGGUCUUCCGUACCA
This 76-nucleotide transfer RNA is filed under the name Bacilli bacterium. RNAcentral's name for it is "tRNA-Pro". It matches the Rfam family "tRNA". Rfam says of the family: Transfer RNA (tRNA) molecules are approximately 80 nucleotides in length. Their secondary structure includes four short double-helical elements and three loops (D, anti-codon, and T loops). The record is from RNAcentral. Lineage: Bacteria; Bacillati; Bacillota; Bacilli.